UACGGGGGGGGCAAGCGUUGUUCGGAAUUACUGGGCGUAAAGGGUUUGUAGGUGGCCCGCUAAGUCACACGUGAAAUCCCUCAGCUUAACUGGGGAACUGCGUGUGAGACUGGCAGGCUCGAGGGCAGGAGAGGAACGCGGAAUUCCAGGUGUAGCGGUGAAAUGCGUAGAUAUCUGGAGGAACACCGGUGGCGAAGGCGGCGUUCUGGGCCAAUACUGACACUGAGGUGCGAAAGCGUGGGGAGCAAACAGG
This 253-nucleotide ribosomal RNA is filed under the name uncultured bacterium. Its description in RNAcentral is "partial 16S ribosomal RNA". It matches the Rfam family "Bacterial small subunit ribosomal RNA", at positions 524 to 776 of the family's 1533-position model. The record is from RNAcentral.